Molecule: long non-coding RNA, 2574 nt
Filed under: Monomorium pharaonis (pharaoh ant)
Lineage: Eukaryota; Metazoa; Arthropoda; Insecta; Hymenoptera; Formicidae
Description: uncharacterized LOC114255592
Source: RNAcentral
CAAUUCUGAGUUUGGAUUUGGAUUCAGCGGGUCAAAAUACAUAAGGAUAGACUAGUCUGGUCCGCCGGACCAACCACUUUUUUUGUGUGCCGUUGAUACCAUUAUAUUAAUUGAAUACCGGCCUGGUGAUGAUAGCGCCCGUGAAUCGUGUAUUCCACACGAUGGUGCCAGUGUGUGCUUUACGUGAGAGGAGUCAAGAGAUUGCUGAAAGUUCACACGCUGAAAAAACACGGAAACUAUGCACAAUAUUUGUCACGUAUAUUGCGAACAACCGCCAUGAAGCAAGAGCACGUUUGAAGUGAAGUACAGCGCGGCGCACGCGCUAGCGCGCACAUUGUGGCGCUUCGCGAUUCACGCGAACGCUGAUAGAUCGAUAGAUGCUGCCAUCUGACGCGACGACGUGAGCUCAUUAUCUACUGAAUCUCGAACAAUAAAUUUUUGCUGUGUGAUUAGUACACAUCACUAGAGCAACGCACGCAAUAAAAUCGUGUUUUUCGAUCGAUGAAAGACGAACAUAUUGAACAACGUUCUUUUAAUCUAAAACAUUAUUUACUGACCGAUCUCGAAGAUUUUAGUCUUCUGGCCUUUUAUCUACUCCAGAAAGUUCUUAAUUACAUUUUUGAGUGAUAUUUUUAUGUAAUACAUACAUUUAACACAAUACUUAUUUACAACAUUUGAAACAUUUUAAUUAACAAAAUAAUCAUUUCAAAAUAGGUACCUGUAUUUUAAUUUUUGGCACACUACACUUUUUGUAACGUUUUUCCUACAUUGGGUCCGUGGGACCCGUAAUUUUUUUUUAAUGCACUGUUCAGCAGCUGGGGCUGGAGUGAGUUCGGUUAGGCGUCAGAGUGGUAGAGGAUAUGUUCCCCCCUCCCCUUUAGUCCGAACCACCCUCCCCUUUUAGCACAGAGUUACAGAGGAGAAGAAAAGGUGCCAGGUCUAUCAGACUCAGUGUAGGAACUAAGAGUUAAGAAUACGAGAAAAAAGGUCCGCAAGUGAAAUUUACAGUCGUAGUGACCGAGAAAGUAAAUUUUCCAAAGGAAGGAGCACGACGUAGUGCGCACAAAGGGAGAAAAAAUCCCAAAAGACGCUAGGUCAUUAUUAGUGGUCAGAAAAGAAGUUGAUGAUGCUGAUGACUUGGCAGAAAGUCAGUUUUAUAAAGCAGGCAUUGCAGAUUAAUGAGCACGUUUACACCGUACAUUUAGUCUGCGACCUAUACACUAUAUUCGACCCAAACACGAUAGGUCACAACGAUGUAAACACUCGCGAACUUGUUUGGGUCUGGUCACUUUUUCACGAUCUCUAGCCCAUUUUAGGCCACACAACGUAACGCGUGUAAACGGUGGUGUACUAUAAAGCGGGUAAGUGUACCAGCAAAUGCUAAUAGAUGGAUCUGCUUUAUAGCAUACACAUAUAAACUACUUACAGUCUGUCAAGUAAGAGCGUGGCCGGAUAAAUUUAUAAAAAAAAACUUAUUAAAUAAAAUUUUUAUAUACAUAUAUGUAUUAUACUCGAUAAGAAGAAGAAUGCAAUUAUGUUAAUAAUGCGUCCAAUCACCAUCGGCGUCAAUAAUUGCCUGGCAUCUCCGAGGCAUGCUUUCGACUAAAUUGACGGCAUUCUAGCGGCAAUGAUCUCCAGAUCCGACGAAUCUUGCAAGAUAACUCCUUCAAAGUGUGCGUGCGUUUUCCACAAAGCUUCUGCUUAAUAUAUGCCAAAACAUUUUCGAUAGGAUUUGCAUCGGGCGACUGCGACAGCCAACUCAAUGUAACGAUGCCAGAUUGCUUCUUCCACUCGGUACAGAACUUGCUGCGGUGUUUAGGAUUGCUUAACGUGUCUUUCUUCCAAAAAAUCAACGACAACUGAAUCUCUCUUGACAAUGCAUCAAGGACAGAGCUUCCCUCUAUCGAUUCAUGAAUAAAUUAGGAUGAUAUCUUUUAUAAGCUGUGAGUAAAGUCCACCACGCUCUUACUUGACAGACUAUACCUACGUUAGUCCAAACUUAUGUAUAGGUCUACACGGUGUAAACAAUUUGUUACUAGCCUACCUUAGGUCGCGGUAUAGGUCAAGGCAUAGGUCAGGUCGUAAGGUGUAAACUAGGCCAAUAAUAAGAUGGAAAUUUUUGUGACAUAGUGUAAUAUUUCAAAAAUUUUAAACGCAUUUUCCUCGGAACUGCAUUUUCCGAAACGAUGGGACUAAUAACUCAACAAUUUUUUAUCCAAUUGACUUCAAAUUUUAACUCAAUAUUCUCAGCAACAUUCUCUAUCGACUCAAGUAGGAUUUUGUCAAAAUAUUUUGUAGUACUUUUUAAUCUACAAUUAAAGUCGGUUUUUUUUUUUCGAAAAAAUUAUUAUUUUUCUUUAAACCAUCCCGAUUUCAAGAGAAAUCAAUAUUUUUAAAAAUCCCUACGAUAACUACAACAGUAUAGAUGAUGACUUUUUUUGUGUCUACCUAGGUUUGCCUAGGUUGAUCUGUUUUGCCGAAAUCAGUCCUACCGUUUGGGCCCGUCUCGCGAAAGGUGUUUCCGUAAUUUGAGCACGAAGUCGUCAUUUUGUGAUUUAAACGGAAUAAAAAAAA